GACGAACGCUGGCGGCGUGCUUAACACAUGCAAGUCGAACGGAAAGGCCCUGCUUUUGUGGGGUGCUCGAGUGGCGAACGGGUGAGUAACACGUGAGUAACCUGCCCUUGACUUUGGGAUAACUUCAGGAAACUGGUGCUAAUACCGGAUAGGAGCUCCUGCUGCAUGGUGGGGGUUGGAAAGUUUCGGCGGUGGGGGAUGGACUCGCGGCUUAUCAGCUUGUUGGUGGGGUAGUGGCGUACCAAGGCUUUGACGGGUAGCCGGCCUGAGAGGGUGACCGGCCACAAUGGGACUGAGAUACGGCCCAGACGCCUACGGGAGGCAGCGGUGGGGAAUAUUGCACAAUGGGCGGGAGCCUGAUGCAGCAACGCCGCGUGCGGGAUGACGGCCUUCGGGUUGUAAACCGCUUUCGCCUGUGACGAAGCGUGAGUGACGGUAAUGGGUAAAGAAGCACCGGCUAACUACGUG
RNAcentral lists this ribosomal RNA (468 nucleotides) under uncultured bacterium. Its description in RNAcentral is "partial 16S ribosomal RNA". It matches the Rfam family "Bacterial small subunit ribosomal RNA", at positions 28 to 507 of the family's 1533-position model. The record is from RNAcentral.